UCCUCUCCGGGGGAUUUCCUCAGCUUCAGGUCCUUGAUCUGGGUCACUAUUUCAGCCAAAGUUAUUGGUCUGAAAGUAUGGUUGGGUGUGUGUGGGUCCAUCAAGUCUACAGACUCCUCAACUGAUUGUCUCUCCUCCUCAGUAUUUGAAAGUAAAGGCUUGAACCUCUGCUCAAGGUGAAGAGCGAAAGAUUCAGCCUUUUGUUAAUCGCAUGCAUCGGCGGCAGUGCGAGAAUGACCUACCGCAACAUACAUCAACUCCAGCCUUAGCCUGAACUGGCAGGCUAAGCGGAGCCAAUGCAUGCAACAGUAGGGUGGAUUUUAUUUGUAUAUUAAUACUAUUCUUAGCAUUCUAAUACAAAUUAUUGGGGC
This 371-nucleotide long non-coding RNA is filed under the name Drosophila guanche. The record is from RNAcentral. Lineage: Eukaryota; Metazoa; Arthropoda; Insecta; Diptera; Drosophilidae.